Molecule: ribosomal RNA, 463 nt
Filed under: uncultured bacterium
Lineage: Bacteria
Description: bacterial SSU rRNA
Rfam family: Bacterial small subunit ribosomal RNA
Source: RNAcentral
GAUGAACGUUGGCGGCGUGCCUAAUACAUGCAAGUCGAACGGAGAUUGUAGCAAUACGGUCUCAGUGGCGAACGGGUGAGUAACGCGUUGGUGACCUGCCCCGAAGUGUGGAAUAACAGAUCGAAAGAGCUGCUAAUACCGCAUAAUAUCCAGAAGACUAGAUGCUUUUUGGAUUAAAGGAUUUAUUCGCUUCGGGAGGGGCCUGCGUCCCAUCAGCUAGUUGGUAAGGUAAAGGCUUACCAAGGCUAUGACGGGUAGGGGACCUGAGAGGGUGGCCCCCCACAAUGGAACUGAAACACGGUCCAUACACCUACGGGUGGCAGCAGUAGGGAAUAUUAGAAAUGGGCGAAGCCUGAUCUAGCAACACCGCGUGUGCGAUGAAGGUCUUCGGAUUGUAAAAGCAACUUUUUGGAGGGAUUGGAGGAAGGCAGUACCUCCAGAAUAAGCCUCGGCUAACUACGUG